UUUCCGUAGGUGAACCUGCGGAGGGAUCAUUAACACGUUCCAACCCUAUCAACCAACCUGUGAACUUUGUAUCUGCCUCAACUUCGAUAUUGGUAACAGUAUCGAAAACUUUGAUUUGGCUGUUUCUGUAGUACGCUGUCAUUUCGAGUCUCGAUGGUGGUUGAAGAGGUCAUACUCUCAAUUCGACUCCAGUGUAUCGUGUGAAGUCGCUUAGAGCUUCUUAGCAGCGCCAAAUUCCAAAGGAGGCCCAACCUAAUAGAUCAAACAGCUGACCAUCAGUUGUUGUUCUGUUAAACCUUUUCCACACGCCCUUUUGAAAGGUGUUGAGCUUGCUCAAUUCACCUUGCAAAACAGAUCAAGUCAAUUUCUAUCUGCCACUGACCUGUGUCUGAUCGUUAGCUCUAAGCUAUCGUAUCUUUGACUGCAGUGUGUAGCCAAUCAAAAAACUAACAGAGUAAUACAACUCUUAGCAAUGGAUAUCUUGGUUCUC
Molecule: unclassified non-coding RNA, 490 nt
Filed under: plant metagenome
Description: partial contains small subunit ribosomal RNA, internal transcribed spacer 1, and 5.8S ribosomal RNA
Source: RNAcentral